AAACUACUCCCUCUGUCCCAAAUUUCUUGUCUUAGAUUUGUCUAGAUACGGAUGUAUCUAAUACUAAAAUGUGACUUGAUACAUCCGUAUCUAGACAAAUCUAAGACAAGAAUUUUGGGACGGAGGGAGUACUUU
Triticum aestivum (bread wheat) is the source of this 135-nucleotide non-coding RNA. The record is from Rfam. Lineage: Eukaryota; Viridiplantae; Streptophyta; Magnoliopsida; Poales; Poaceae.